UACGGGGGGGGCAAGCGUUGUUCGGAAUUACUGGGCGUAAAGGGCUCGUAGGUGGCCAACUAAGUCAGACGUGAAAUCCCUCGGCUUAACCGGGGAACUGCGUCUGAUACUGGAAGGCUUGAAUCCGGGAGAGGGAUGCGGAAUUCCAGGUGUAGCGAUGAAAUGCGUAGAUAUCUGGAGGAACACCGGUGGCGAAGGCGGCAUCCUGGACCGGCAUUGACGCUGAGGCGCGAAAGCCAGGGGAGCAAACGGG
This 253-nucleotide ribosomal RNA is filed under the name uncultured bacterium. RNAcentral describes it as "partial 16S ribosomal RNA". It matches the Rfam family "Bacterial small subunit ribosomal RNA", at positions 524 to 776 of the family's 1533-position model. The record is from RNAcentral.